GAACGAUGAAACUUAAAAGAUUUCUUCGGAAUGAAUUUAAGCGGAUUAGUGGCGGACGGGUGAGUAACGCGUGAGUAACCUGCCUUACACAAGGGGAUAGCCUCUGGAAACGGAGAAUAAUACCCUAUAACACCAUCAAAUCGCAUGAAGUGAUGGUCAAAGUGUUAGCGGUGUAAGAUGGACUUGCGUCUGAUUAGCUAGUUGGUGAGAAAAAAGCCCACCAAGGCAACGAUCAGUAGCCGGCUUGAGAGAGUGUACGGCCACAUUGGGACUGAGACACGGCCCAGACUCCUACGGGAGGCAGCAGUGGGGAAUUUUGCACAAUGGGGGAAACCCUGAUGCAGCGACGCCGCGUGAUUUAGAAGGCCUUCGGGUUGUAAAAAUCUUUUGUAUAGGAAGAAAAUGACAGUACUAUACGAAUAAGGUCCGGCUAAUUACGUGCCAGCAGCCGCGGUAAUACGUAAGGACCGAGCGUUGUCCGGAAUCAUUGGGCGUAAAGGGUACGUAGGCGGGUUUUUAAGUUAGAAGUCAAAGGCUAUAGAUCAACUAUAGUAAGCUUCUAAAACUGGAAACCUUGAGAGAUGGAAGGGAAAGUGGAAUUCCUAGUGUAGCGGUGGAAUGCGCAGAUAUUAGAAGGAAUACCGGUGGCGAAGGCGACUUUCUGGCCAUUUUCUGACGCUGAGGUACGAAAGCGUGGGUAGCAAACAGG
This 709-nucleotide ribosomal RNA is filed under the name uncultured Eubacteriales bacterium. RNAcentral's name for it is "bacterial SSU rRNA". It matches the Rfam family "Bacterial small subunit ribosomal RNA", at positions 49 to 776 of the family's 1533-position model. The record is from RNAcentral. Lineage: Bacteria; Bacillati; Bacillota; Clostridia; Eubacteriales.